UCUUGGGAACGGCUUAAUUUAACGUCUGGAAUUGCUUCUUCGUCAACACCUUUAAUAAAUUGGAUUUGUGCCAUAUUUAAUUUUAAUUA
This 89-nucleotide transfer RNA is filed under the name Cyanophora paradoxa. RNAcentral's name for it is "tRNA-Ser". The record is from RNAcentral. Lineage: Eukaryota; Glaucocystophyceae; Cyanophorales; Cyanophoraceae.